GCCGAAGUGGUGGAAUGGCAGACACCAGGGACUUAAAAUCCCUUGCCCGUCAGGGCGUGUGCGUUCGAGUCGCAUCUUCGGCACCA
This 86-nucleotide transfer RNA is filed under the name Candidatus Onthenecus intestinigallinarum. Its description in RNAcentral is "tRNA-Leu". It matches the Rfam family "tRNA". Rfam says of the family: Transfer RNA (tRNA) molecules are approximately 80 nucleotides in length. The record is from RNAcentral. Lineage: Bacteria; Bacillati; Bacillota; Clostridia; Eubacteriales.